Molecule: long non-coding RNA, 471 nt
Organism: Pezoporus occidentalis (night parrot)
Lineage: Eukaryota; Metazoa; Chordata; Aves; Psittaciformes; Psittacidae
Exons: 2
Source: RefSeq, a predicted model, not a curated record
CAAACCAGACUGGGAUUCUGAGAUUCUGUGAUUUUGUUCCAUACCUUUAGCACUGGAUGUAAUUCUUAAAUAAUGGGCAAAAUGAACCACAGAUUCCUUCAAGUGCCAGUUAUGUUAGUAGGGGUAAGACUGGAAAAGUAAAUUGUGUUUUCUUCACCAGUGUCAGGAAACAUGACCAAAUUCAGGUUCCUCUUCAUGCUGCAACAACAACCACCGCAUCUUCAGGACCUGCGCAUGCAUCUUGUUCCAGUGCUAACUAGUGCAGUUAAUGGCACCAUGUCUUGAAUGCAGACAUCUGCUGCCAGUGACUACACCCACUUGCAUUGGAUGGGAGUCACCAAUAGCUCCACAGGUGCAGCCCCAAACCAACAUCUGCAUAAAGGGAAUUGAGAAUAAAUCUAACAAAAGAGCAAUUUACCUCCUGGCAUGCAUGUUUCUAACAGGUGACUUCUGUAAAAAUAGUUUGAUCCA